RNAcentral lists this ribosomal RNA (239 nucleotides) under uncultured bacterium. RNAcentral describes it as "partial 16S ribosomal RNA". It matches the Rfam family "Bacterial small subunit ribosomal RNA", at positions 95 to 334 of the family's 1533-position model. The record is from RNAcentral.
UUGGCGGACGGGUGAGUAACGCGUGGGUAACCUGCCCUAUACAGGGGGAUAACAACCAGAAAUGGUUGCUAAUACCGCAUAAGCGCACAGGACCGCAUGGUCCGGUGUGAAAAACUCCGGUGGUAUAGGAUGGACCCGCGUUGGAUUAGCCAGUUGGCAGGGUAACGGCCUACCAAAGCGACGAUCCAUAGCCGGCCUGAGAGGGUGAACGGCCACAUUGGGACUGAGACACGGCCCAG